This 492-nucleotide ribosomal RNA is filed under the name uncultured bacterium. RNAcentral describes it as "partial 16S ribosomal RNA". It matches the Rfam family "Bacterial small subunit ribosomal RNA", at positions 29 to 507 of the family's 1533-position model. The record is from RNAcentral.
AGUGAACGCUGGCGGUAGGCCUAACACAUGCAAGUCGAACGGCAGCACAGUAGGAGCUUGCUCUUACGGGUGGCGAGUGGCGGACGGGUGAGGAAUACAUCGGAAUCUACUUUUUCGUGGGGGAUAACGUAGGGAAACUUACGCUAAUACCGCAUACGACCUACGGGUGAAAGCAGGGGAUCUUCGGACCUUGCGCGAUUGAUUGAGCCGAUGUCGGAUUAGCUAGUUGGCGGGGUAAAGGCCCACCAAGGCGACGAUCCGUAGCUGGUCUGAGAGGAUGAUCAGCCACACUGGAACUGAGACACGGUCCAGACUCCUACGGGAGGCAGCAGUGGGGAAUAUUGGACAAUGGGCGCAAGCCUGAUCCAGCCAUACCGCGUGGGUGAAGAAGGCCUUCGGGUUGUAAAGCCCUUUUGUUGGGAAAGAAAAGCAGCAGGUUAAUACCCCGCUGUUCUGACGGUACCCAAAGAAUAAGCACCGGCUAACUUCGUG